Molecule: ribosomal RNA, 503 nt
Filed under: uncultured bacterium
Lineage: Bacteria
Description: partial 16S ribosomal RNA
Rfam family: Bacterial small subunit ribosomal RNA
Source: RNAcentral
GAUGAACGCUAGCUACAGGCUUAACACAUGCAAGUCGAGGGGCAGCAUUCUUGUAGCAAUACAAGAGAUGGCGACCGGCGCACGGGUGAGUAACACGCAUCCAACCUGCCUUCAACUCGGGGAUAGCCUUUCGAAAGAAAGAUUAAUACCCGAUGGCAUAGCAAUUCCGCAUGGUGUUGCUAUUAAAGAAUUUCGGUUGAAGAUGGGGAUGCGUUCCAUUAGAUUGUUGGCGGGGUAACGGCCCACCAAGUCGACGAUGGAUAGGGGUUCUGAGAGGAAGGUCCCCCACAUUGGAACUGAGACACGGUCCAAACUCCUACGGGAGGCAGCAGUGAGGAAUAUUGGUCAAUGGGCGAGAGCCUGAACCAGCCAAGUAGCGUGAAGGAUGACCGCCCUAUGGGUUGUAAACUUCUUUUGUGUGGGAAUAAAGUGAGCCACGUGUGGCUUUUUGUAUGUACCAUACGAAUAAGGAUCGGCUAACUCCGUGCCAGCCGCCGCCGUAA